AUGAAAAUGAUUUGCUGGAACUAUUGAGGUUUGGGUCAACCUCGGACAGUCCAAGAGCUGGUGUGCCUCACAAAGACACAUCGACCCAAUGUUAUCUUUCUUUCUGAAACAAGGCAAAAUAAAGAGUAUGUUGGGAGUUUGCGUUAUCGCCUUGGUAUGAAAAAUGUAUUUACUGUUUCUAUUCCAGGAAAAGGAGGUGGCUUAGUGGUUUUUUGGGACGACCUUUAUACCUUGGAGUUGAACAAAUAUGGAGAUCAUUUUAUUGACAUGUACAUCAACAAUGGUGCUGAAACUAAAUGGAGAAGCACUUUUGUGUAUGGGGAACCAAAGGCGAACCAAAGGUAUGUUAUGUGGGAGCAACUAAUGCGAAUUAAACCGCUUGGGGCUGGACCAUGGUUUAUGGCUGGAGAUUUUAAUGAGGCUAUGUGGCAGAAUGAGCAUUUUUCUUGGGUAAAGCGGUCUCCUAAACUGUUGGCUAAUUUUCGUGAAAUUCUGUCUGAGUGCAAUUUAUUUGAUUUGGGCUUUCAUGGAGUUCCUUGGACUUAUAAUAAUAAGCAGCAUGGCAAUAAAAACGUGAAGGUGCGGCUUGAUCGAGCGGUGGUGUGCCCACAAUGGUCGUCUAUGUUUCCGGACUGCAAGGUCUCACAUAUUCUUAGCUCCAGGUCAGAUCAUUGUCCUAUUCUUAUUGAAAUGUGA
Molecule: ribosomal RNA, 696 nt
Filed under: Triticum aestivum (bread wheat)
Lineage: Eukaryota; Viridiplantae; Streptophyta; Magnoliopsida; Poales; Poaceae
Description: partial small subunit ribosomal RNA
Source: RNAcentral